GCUGGGUGUGGUGAUGCACACCUGUAGUCCCAGCUACUCAGGAGGCUGAGUUGGGAGGAUCCCUUGAGCUCAGGAGUUGGAGGCUACGGUGAGCCAUGAUGACACCACUACACUCCAGCCUGGGCGACAAAGUGAAAUCCUGUCUCUA
Molecule: unclassified non-coding RNA, 148 nt
Organism: Macaca fascicularis (crab-eating macaque)
Lineage: Eukaryota; Metazoa; Chordata; Mammalia; Primates; Cercopithecidae
Rfam family: Metazoan signal recognition particle RNA
About the family: The signal recognition particle (SRP) is a universally conserved ribonucleoprotein. It is involved in the co-translational targeting of proteins to membranes.
Source: Ensembl